CGUACCUUUUGUAUAAUGGGUCAGCGACUUAUAUUCUGUAGCAAGGUUAACCGAAUAGGGGAGCCGAAGGGAAACCGAGUCUUAACUGGGCGUUAAGUUGCAGGGUAUAGACCCGAAACCCGGUGAUCUAGCCAUGGGCAGGUUGAAGGUUGGGUAACACUAACUGGAGGACCGAACCGACUAAUGUUGAAAAAUUAGCGGAUGACUUGUGGCUGGGGGUGAAAGGCCAAUCAAACCGGGAGAUAGCUGGUUCUCCCCGAAAGCUAUUUAGGUAGCGCCUCGUGAAUUCAUCUCCGGGGGUAGAGCACUGUUUCGGCAAGGGGGUCAUCCCGACUUACCAACCCGAUGCAAACUGCGAAUACCGGAGAAUGUUAUCACGGGAGACACACGGCGGGUGCUAACGUCCGUCGUGAAGAGGGAAACAACCCAGACCGCCAGCUAAGGUCCCAAAGUCAUGGUUAAGUGGGAAACGAUGUGGGAAGGCCCAGACAGCCAGGAUGUUGGCUUAGAAGCAGCCAUCAUUUAAAGAAAGCGUAAUAGCUCACUGGUCGAGUCGGCCUGCGCGGAAGAUGUAACGGGGCUAAACCAUGCACCGAAGCUGCGGCAGCGACGCUUAUGCGUUGUUGGGUAGGGGAGCGUUCUGUAAGCCUGCGAAGGUGUGCUGUGAGG
This 669-nucleotide ribosomal RNA is filed under the name Escherichia coli. RNAcentral describes it as "partial 23S ribosomal RNA". It matches the Rfam family "Bacterial large subunit ribosomal RNA", at positions 600 to 1268 of the family's 2925-position model. Lineage: Bacteria; Pseudomonadati; Pseudomonadota; Gammaproteobacteria; Enterobacterales; Enterobacteriaceae. The record is from RNAcentral.